This 253-nucleotide ribosomal RNA is filed under the name uncultured bacterium. Its description in RNAcentral is "partial 16S ribosomal RNA". It matches the Rfam family "Bacterial small subunit ribosomal RNA", at positions 524 to 776 of the family's 1533-position model. The record is from RNAcentral.
UACGGAGGUUGCAAGCGUUAUCCGGAUUUAUUGGGUUUAAAGGGUGCGUAGGCGGGAUGAUAAGUCAGUGGUGAAAGCCUGUAGCUUAACUAUAGAAUUGCCAUUGAUACUGUCGUUCUUGAGUGUAGUUGAGGUGGGCGGAAUGUGUAAUGUAGCGGUGAAAUGCUUAGAGAUUACACAGAACACCGAUUGCGUAGGCAGCUCACUAAACUAUAACUGACGCUGAGGCACGAAAGCGUGGGGAGCAAACAGG